This 783-nucleotide long non-coding RNA is filed under the name Ananas comosus (pineapple). RNAcentral's name for it is "long non-coding RNA (ACOM_LNC001320)". The record is from RNAcentral. Lineage: Eukaryota; Viridiplantae; Streptophyta; Magnoliopsida; Poales; Bromeliaceae.
UUUCUUUGCAUUUGGCCCCCUCAAAAACUUUAUUUUCACAAAUAGCACCACUAAUUUUAUAAUUAUAAUUUUGAUCCUAUUCCCGCCACGCAGGCGACACGUCAGCGUCAGGCAAGGAGGAGAUGUGAAAUAAGUUGAACAGAGUGAAUGUUUCACCGUGUCUAGUAUAUUAUUGGUCAAUAUAUUCACUAAAUACGGAGAAUCAGAUACGGUGAAUGAAUUACCAUAUUUAACUUAUUUCACAUCCUUCUUCUCUGUCGCGUGGUGCUGACGUAGCACCUGCGUAUCGGGAAUAGGGUCAAAAUUAUAAUUAUAAAUUAGUAGGGUUAUUUGUGAAAAAAAAGUUUGUUUAGGAGCAAAUGCAAAAAAAAGCCCCACAAAAAAAAUUAGGGAUACAAAAACCCCCAUGGUUUCGCACUUUCUCACUUUAGUACCAUGUGAUUUGAAGUGUAUCACCUUGCCGUGAUUACCCUGUGAUUUGAAACGUUGCACUUUGCUGUUAAGUAAAUUAAUAUUUACUUUGAAGUGUUUCAAUUUGUCCCCCUAUGCUUUUGUUUUUUCCUUUUUAUUAUCAAUUUUUUAAUUUUUUUUCUUAAAUACAAAGUUAAAAUUAAAGGUACUAAAGUAAAUAUUCGAUAAAUCUAGGUCGGUAUAUGAAGUUUUUUGUAUAUAUUUUAAUGAAAUAUUAGGAAAAAAGCGACCGAAAAGAUAAACACAAAAUUACAGGGGGUAAGUUGAUACACUUCAAAUCACAUGGUACUAAAAUGAGAAAGUGCGAAAUCA